GUGGGGGAUAUUGCACAAUGGGGGAAACCCUGAUGCAGCGACGCCGCGUGGAGGAAGAAGGUUUUCGGAUUGUAAACUCCUGUCGUUAGGGACGAUAAUGACGGUACCUAACAAGAAAGCACCGGCUAACUACGUGCCAGCAGCCGCGGUAAAACGUAGGGUGCAAGCGUUGUCCGGAAUUACUGGGUGUAAAGGGAGCGCAGGCGGGAAGACAAGUUGGAAGUGAAAACCAUGGGCUCAACCCAUGAAUUGCUUUCAAAACUGUUUUUCUUGAGUAGUGCAGAGGUAGAUGGAAUUCCCGGUGUAGCGGUGGAAUGCGUAGAUAUCGGGAGGAACACCAGUGGCGAAGGCGGUCUACUGGGCACCAACUGACGCUGAGGCUCGAAAGCAUGGGUAGCAAACAGGAUUAGAAACCCUUGUAGUCC
RNAcentral lists this ribosomal RNA (425 nucleotides) under uncultured bacterium. RNAcentral's name for it is "partial 16S ribosomal RNA". It matches the Rfam family "Bacterial small subunit ribosomal RNA", at positions 354 to 796 of the family's 1533-position model. The record is from RNAcentral.